Myotis myotis is the source of this 114-nucleotide small nucleolar RNA. RefSeq annotates it as small nucleolar RNA SNORD116. The record is from RefSeq and is a predicted model, not a curated record. Lineage: Eukaryota; Metazoa; Chordata; Mammalia; Chiroptera; Vespertilionidae. The transcript has a single exon.
GGAUCGAUGAUGACUCCCUCAAAAAAAACACAGCCAAACCAACAUUCCUUGGAAAACCUGAACAAAAUGAGUGAGAACGACACCCGUUGUCGUUCUCAUCGGUAACUGAGGUCC